GUUCGAAGUAAAAGCAGGUAAUCUACCAUCAUCUCAUAACUUGGACAAAUAUAUUUAAGAAUAUUGAAUUUAUUUAACGAGAGUAAAGAGGGAAUAAUUUAAAAUUCAGGGAUUUGUGCGUUGAUUAUUUUCCGAGUCUUUGAGAAUAUAUUUACGAAAAAUAAGGUGAAAUGUAUAUAUCCGUUUUCUUUUAUUAUAAUUUAAUGGUGUUUUCUGCACUAUUUUGAUUUGGUGUUUGUAUUUUUCUUUACAUUCUAAUUAAUCAUAUCAUAUAAUACUAAGAUCACAUUGUGUGUAUUUAAGUAUUUAACGGUAACCCCACUCCCCCUCCCCCAUUAUGACUUAGUGAAAAAAAUUACUCAAUAUUAUUACAGGUGCCAAACAAAAAAGAAACAAUGGAUGAAUAUCUUUCUUGUGAAUAAAUUACUGUCAGUAUUUUAAUUUAUGGUAUGUCAUGCUCAAAGUUUAAGACUAGUAUAUUUAUUAAGAUUUUUUUUAAAUCCAUUGUUGUUGGACAGUCAAUGUCACCCAUUAUAUUUACGACAUCAUUUGUUUUCCUUUAGGUGUAUUUUAACAGCAUUUAUGGAAGUCUCCAACCAGACGGCUGUGAAUGAUUUCAUCCUUCUUGGUCUGUCGACCAUCCCGUACCUACAAGCUAUUUUCUUCUCCCUGUUUCUGUCUAUGUACAUAGCAACUCUAGUAGGAAACACUUUGCUUAUUGUAGCUGUGAAACUAAAUACUCAGCUCCAGACCCCAAUGUAUUUCUUCCUCAGUAAUCUCGCCUUCAUUGACAUCUGUUUCUCCACCACAAUAUUGCCCCAAAUUUUGGUAAACACUUUAGUUG
This is a non-coding RNA of Pelobates cultripes (western spadefoot toad), 844 nucleotides long. The record is from the annotation of a GenBank genome assembly. Lineage: Eukaryota; Metazoa; Chordata; Amphibia; Anura; Pelobatidae.